GAUGAACGCUGGCGGCGUGCCUCAGACAUGCAAGUCGAGCGGGGCUAUGUAAUACCGCAAGGUAGAACAUAGCCUAGCGGCGAACGGGUGAGUAACACGUGGGUAACCUGCCUGGAAGACAGGGAUAACGAUUCGAAAGGGUCGCUAAUACCUGAUAAUAUCCUUUCAUCGCAUGGUGAUAGGAAGAAAGGGGAAACCCGCUUUCAGAUGGGCCCGCGUCCCAUCAGCUAGUUGGUAAGGUAAAGGCUUACCAAGGCGACGACGGGUAGCCGGUCUGAGAGGAUGUACGGCCACACUGGAACUGAGACACGGUCCAGACUCCUACGGGGGCAGCAGUGGGGAAUCUUCCACAAUGGGCGAAAGCCUGAUGGAGCGACGCCGCGUGAGCGAAGAAGGCCUUCGGGUUGUUAAAGCUCUGUCUGGAGGGACGAAGGAAGUGACGGUACCUCCGGAGGAAGCCACGGCUAACUACGUGCCAGCAGCCGCGGUAAGGAGUAGUACA
RNAcentral lists this ribosomal RNA (502 nucleotides) under uncultured bacterium. RNAcentral describes it as "bacterial SSU rRNA". It matches the Rfam family "Bacterial small subunit ribosomal RNA", at positions 28 to 536 of the family's 1533-position model. The record is from RNAcentral.